UGGCGGACGGGUGAGUAACGCGUGGAAAACCUGCCGUAUACUGGGGGAUAACACUUAGAAAUAGGUGCUAAUACCGCAUAAGCGCACAGCUUCGCAUGAAGCAGUGUGAAAAACUCCGGUGGUAUACGAUGGUUCCGCGUCUGAUUAGCUAGUUGGUGAGGUAAAAGCCCACCAAGGCAACGAUCAGUAGCCGGCCUGAGAGGGUGAACGGCCACAUUGGGACUGAGACACGGCCCAGACUCCUACGGAAGGCAGCAG
RNAcentral lists this ribosomal RNA (258 nucleotides) under uncultured bacterium. RNAcentral describes it as "partial 16S ribosomal RNA". It matches the Rfam family "Bacterial small subunit ribosomal RNA", at positions 96 to 354 of the family's 1533-position model. The record is from RNAcentral.